AAGUCGUAACAAGGUUUCCGUAGGUGAACCUGCGGAAGGAUCAUUAGUGAAUAAACAAGUGCAGGUUGUGCUGGCCUUCUUGGUAUGUGCACGCCUGCCAAAGUUUCAUUCCAUCUUCCCACCUGUGCACUUUGUGUAGAUUCUGUAUGCUGUUGUCAAGCCUUUAUUGUGCUUGGUUGAGAGGAGUUGCUUGUUUUCACAAACAAGCUCUUCUUGGGCAUGCAGGUCUAUGUUUAUAUCAACACCAUAUGAAUGUUUUAGAAUGUGUAUCAGGCUUUUGGCCUUUAAAUUAUAUACAACUUUCAACAACGGAUCUCUUGGCUCUC
This 326-nucleotide unclassified non-coding RNA is filed under the name Pluteus exilis. Its description in RNAcentral is "partial internal transcribed spacer region". The stretch from base 1 to 46 matches the Rfam family "Eukaryotic small subunit ribosomal RNA", at positions 1786 to 1831 of the family's 1831-position model. Lineage: Eukaryota; Fungi; Basidiomycota; Agaricomycetes; Agaricales; Pluteaceae. The record is from RNAcentral.